RNAcentral lists this non-coding RNA (469 nucleotides) under Myotis lucifugus (little brown bat). RNAcentral describes it as "Eukaryotic large subunit ribosomal RNA". It matches the Rfam family "Eukaryotic large subunit ribosomal RNA", at positions 1456 to 1888 of the family's 3401-position model. Lineage: Eukaryota; Metazoa; Chordata; Mammalia; Chiroptera; Vespertilionidae. The record is from Rfam by way of RNAcentral.
GGUAGUAGCAAAAAUUCAAAGGAGAACUUUGAAGGCUGAAGUGGAAAAGGGUUCCAUGUGAACAGCAGUUGAACAUGGGUCAGUUUGUCCUGAGAGAUGGGCGAGCGCCGUUCCGAAGGGACGGGCGAUGGCCUCCGUUGCCCUCAGCUCAUCGAAAGGGAGUCAGGUUCAGAUCCCCGAAUCCGGAGUGGCGGAGACGGGUGCUGCGAGGCGUCCAGUGUGGUAACGCAACCGAUCCCGGAGAAGCCGGCGGGAGCCCCGGGGAGAGUUCUCUUUUCUUUGUGAAGGGCAGGGCGCCCUGGAAUGGGUUCGCCCCGAGAGAGGGACCCGUGCCUCGGAAAGCGUCGCGGUUCCGGCGGUGUCCAGUGAGCUCUCGCUGGCCCUUGAAAAUCCGGGGGAGAGGGUGUAAAUCCCUCCCCGGGCCGUACCCAUAUCCGCAGCAGGUCUCCAAGGUGAACAGCCUCUGGCA